Labrus mixtus (cuckoo wrasse) is the source of this 428-nucleotide long non-coding RNA. RefSeq lists it as uncharacterized. NCBI's taxonomy places the organism in Eukaryota, Metazoa, Chordata, Actinopteri, Labriformes, Labridae. The transcript is spliced from 2 exons. The record is from RefSeq and is a predicted model, not a curated record.
GAAAAGAUCUCCAACUGUUAUAGUUGAACUUUGGGAUUGUUUCAUCUUCAUUUGUCUCUUGAAAAAAGCUGUUAAAGGCUGAUGGAUAUAGAGAGCCAUCCACACAGACGGGAAAGUUGUCAGUCUCACAUCUUACUAAAAAAUUAGAGAGAUGCAGAGAUCAAAAGUUCAAACUCAGGUCCAUUAUGUUCAAGCAGCUUAUCAAAGAUGGAGAUAGAUGUUUGAUAAUGAUCGGUAAUAAGUUCUUUGAUAAAAACGAACAAACUCAACAGGAGAUAAUGUGCAGAUAACAUUGUCUGUACUGCACUUUGUGUUUUUAAUGUAGGUUGUGUUUAUUGUUUGAGCCUUGUCAAAAGAGAAUUCACUGUUGGGAUAGACAAUAAAGUUUAUCUAUUUUAGUAGGAGAACAUAUUAAACACGUGACCAUG